This is an RNA transcript of Musa acuminata AAA Group (dessert banana), 2701 nucleotides long. It is a transcript of the gene named transcription termination factor MTERF8, chloroplastic-like, with no coding region annotated. The transcript is spliced from 2 exons. The record is from RefSeq and is a predicted model, not a curated record. NCBI's taxonomy places the organism in Eukaryota, Viridiplantae, Streptophyta, Magnoliopsida, Zingiberales, Musaceae.
CGGUCGCAGUAAUCUCCGCCAGAAAAAAAAAUGUCGAACAAGGUAACGCACUUCUAGGGUUUAAGACGCAGGUACUUCCGGCCAAAUCGCGCUCUUCUAUACGCAGCUACGCCACCUUCGCUAGGUUUUAGUAAAGAGAAGGAACCUACAAUGAAGAAGAAGUAGAAGAAGAAGAAGAAGAAGACGAUGACAUUGAUGAAUAGGUCGCCCUACGUCUCUCUCUUGUCCAAAGCCCUUGCCUUCGUCCCUUGCUGUCGUCCGGCCGAUGCUGCCCUUUUUCUAGCAACCCAUUCUUACUCCGCCGCCUCCGGUGCUCCACAGAGCAGCCUUAUGGCUGAAUACCUGGUCAGCUCCUGUGGCUUCGAUCCUGAUCAGGCGGCCAAAGCCUCGAAGCUCCUUGGCCACGUUGAAUCCCGCCACCAGCCUGACUCCGUCCUUGGCUUAUUUAAAAGCUACGGUUUUGACAACACCCAGGUGAAAAAGGUCAUAUCUGCAAACCCCCGGUGGCUUCUCCUCGACGUGGAGAAGACCCUGGCCCCAAAGUUCCGAGCUUUGCAGGAUCUGGGCUUCUCCUGCUCCGACAUCACCCACCUCGUCAGAUCGAAUAUCCAUGUCAUCAGCCACAAAUCCCAGACCAUCUUGUCCAAGAUCCAAUUAUGGCAAGGCCUCCUCGGGUCCAACGACUUACUGAUGAACUUGUGCAAGAAAAACAGGAGGUUUCUCGGGUAUAGCAUCGAGAAGACGAUCCGGCCUAAAAUUGAAAUUCUAAGGGAUUGCGGGAUGACGGAUCAGAAGCUCUCAAUGAUCCUAAGGCAAUAUCCCCACCUCAUAACCCGGAAUGCUGAAACCCUGAAGGCGUUAAUCAGUCGUGUCGAGGGUUUGGGAGUAGCUCGCACCUCAGGGAUGUUCCCCUUGACCCUGACUGUGCUCCACAACGUCUCCGAGAAUAACUUCAAGGCUCACUUGGAGUUCUUCAAGGGCUUCGGGUGGUCCGAGGAUGAUUUCCUUGCUGCAUUCAGAAAGGCUCCUACGUUUGUGCAAAUUUCUUUAAAGAGUUUGCAGAGGAAGAUGGAGUUCUUGGUAAAUGAAGCCGGAUGUGCUCCAUCUCAUCUUGCACUUCGGCCAGAUAUUUUGUUGUGCAGUUUGGAGAAAAGGUUGAUGCCAAGGCAUCAGAUUGUGACAGGCCUGAAGUCUAGAGGAGUUUGCAUCAGUAACCUUAGUAUGUCUACAUACGUGAAAUAUUCAGAGAAGAAAUUUGUGGAGAAGUUCGUCAACCGCUACAAGGAGUAUCCAGAACUCAUUGAGUUGUAUAAUGGAGUCCCCAAAAACAGAACUGCAUUUGAUCGUGGAAAUGCAUAAUGCAUAGCACAAGCUUUUGUACCAGCAAGUUAUGUUUCCAGGUUCCAAUUUUCCACUAUCCGCAUAACAUGAUCUACAAUUUGCGACCAAAUAAUUCCUGCCAUUUACUUCGUUUUCUGUGAAUGUAAGAUGAGUUUGGAUGCUUACAUGUAGUAAGAAAAUGAAGAAUGUUGAGAAGAUUUGUGAUGAUAUUGCCGAUAGAGUUAAUUGCUUGUUGAUAAUCACUUGUGUAGAUGCCACAUGGAAUUGUUAUUCUUGUCCCAUUCGUUUUAAGUCUACUGGAAGAUAUCAGACUUAUGUAGGUUAUUGGACACUUGAAGUUUUGAUUGAUUUAACUAUGGAUAUUUGGUAAGUUAGGUUUCGAGUUUUGGUUAUUUUUUCAAAUGAUAAGAAGUAGGAUUCUCUUGGAUGGUAUGGUAGGAUGCUUUGGUGAUUUUGAGUUGGAUGAUGAGGCUUUUGAUUUAGGGCAAGGGUUGGUCACCUUUUAUAUAAAUUUACUAAAGUCCCUCCUAUCCAAAACCAAACCCAAAACCCAAAAAAGGUAGAUGAGGAUGCGUUUCAAUUUUUUGUAUAUUUUGUUUAUCAAACUUUGUUCACUUUCUUAAGUGAUUAGUUUGAACCACUUCUUUCCUCUUGCUGAUCGGUCAAUUCAGUUGAAAUUUCUCUCUUUAUAAAUGCAAAACUUUAAUGAAUACCAGGUUGCCACCAUGAUAGUUUGAAGCUGACUGUCUUCUUGAGAAUGAAGUUGAAAGUCUUAGAUUUAUGAAGGAAACUACACUUUCCGUAUUGACAAUGUUUUGUUCUCAAUUUAAGCACUGGAAUAUACAAGUUGUCCGUUACCAAUUUAAGCAUUUGAAUACGGGGGUGGUCUAAACUUCAUGCACUUCAGCUCAGACAGGCCAACUCCAAGUGGUCCGGCCUGAGCGACCAAGUUCCACGUGGCUGCAUAAGGUAGGUACUUGGUUAAAUUAAACUGAAGCACUGCUUACUCUUGUUGAGUUAUCGGGAUCAAGAGAAGUUUUAGAUGACUUGCACCCUAUCGCAUGUUGAUCAUCGUAGAGAUGUUUUGCUAACAAAGGCUUGACUCGCUAUCAGCGAAGAAUUAUACAUGUACUGUACUGCCUCAGAACUAGCUGCAGGAUAUGGUCAGGUUCUUUCAGUAGGAAAAGACUGAUGCUCUUUGCAAGGCUUGAUACUUUUUGUGGGGGAUUUUGUCUCUAAAAGGACUGAGAUCCUUUCAACUUGUAGAACUAUAUAUGUUCUAGGAUUUUAUGCCCUCUAAAAUUGCUCGCUAAACAAGAUCAAUUUAUUUUUUCUCGUUAUUAUCAGGUUUUGUUGGUAA